CUUCCUUGCUUCUCUUCACCUUGUUGGAAACAGCAGCAGAAGAAGCAGAUGACAAUUUCUUGGCCUUAGUGUAUGAUCUGAUAUUGCUCUUAGCAUGCUGAUGAAAGGAUCUAAAAGAAUGGUUCCACCUGCAUACACCAAGUUGGUCUUUUAAGGCCUCCACUCCUCCUGUGCUUAAUGCUAUCAUCCAAGCUCUUACUGCUGCACUCAUGUUGUACCUUUGUUGAAUGGACUAGUGUUGAUAUUUUUUCAAUAUAUAUGGGGGUAUGAUUUAGAAGUGGGAGUUAAGAAGUAAUUCAGGUGCUUGUUUGUUGGGGAAGUAACAAAAACUGGAAAAAUAACUAGGGGCAGUGUCAAAUGUCUUGUUUCCCAAGACUAACUUUUUUCUUAUUGGCUAUUCAUAGUUUAAUUUAGGUAAUAAUAUUUUGGUUUUAACUUAUUUUCCAAGUUAAGUUUGGCACCUUAACUCUAAAAUGAGUAAUUUUGGUCCCUAAUUAACGUUGUGUUAAUGCAAUUAGGACUGAUAAGGAAACAAAUCAGAAGGGAAAAUACCAAUAGACUCAACUGGAAGUUAGCAAUUAAGGAAAAAAAGGAGUAGUUACAGAAUUUUGAUCAAAAUAAUUACUUUCCUUUCACAACAAAUAUACGUUUAUUUAUACCAGUCUCAUUAAAACCGUUAGAUAUAUCUAACAAAUUAGAGAGAAAACCAUUAACAAUGAAGGAACCCGCUGCAGGGUGGCUUAAAGUUAAGGGGCUCAUCGAUGCAUGCUUAAAUUUUGAGGUAUCAAAUGCGUGCAAGUGCAAAUACUAAUCACUUAAAGGGGUGUAUUUGAUUAGGAUUUUAAAAGAUUAUUUUUGUAUGAAAAAAUCUAGUGAAUUUUAAAAGAUUAUGCAAGAUUUUAAUGACUUUUAGGAUUUUAAAAGAUUCUCAAGGAUUUCAAGGGAUUUAUAUCUUAAGAUUUUAAAAGACUAUCAAGAUUUCAAUGGAUUAUAUCAAGAAGUUAAUUGUGUUUUUCCUAGAUGCUUAUGGAUGUUUUUAUUUUUUUCAACACUGUACUGCACUAUUAUUAUUUUUUUCCAACACUGUAUUGGAUUGAGAUUUUAAAAUAUUAUUUUGGCAAACAAAAUCUUGAAGAUUUUAAAGGAUUUUGUGAGAUUAUAUUGACUUUGUUGGAUUUUAAAAGACUUUUUUUAAAUGACUUUUUACAAUCAGGAUUUUGAACACAUAAUUUUAAUGGAUUUAUAAUACAAAUUUUUAAGAUUUCAACGGACUUGACGAGAUUUUAAGAUUUGAAAUUAUUGUAUCAAUUUUUAAGAAAAAUUCAAAAUGACCGUAGAUUAAAAAAUAUUAUAAAUCUAUAAUAUCAAAUUGACUAAUAAUAAUAAUAAUAAUAAUGCCUCGUAAGUGUAGCUCAGUUAGUAGCUACCAGGGAUAAUUUUUGCAGGGGUCGGAGUUUGAACUCCGGAUUCUCCACACAUAAUGUGUGUGAAUCUAACCAUUAAACUACUUGACGAAAAAAUAAUAAUAAAAAUGCCUAAAAAGAUAAUGGUCAUUUAACUGUAAUCGUAAGGCAUAUAACAACAACAAAACAAUCCGCUAAAAAAAUAAUAAAUAAUGAUAUUAGUAGAAAAAAAAAAUGACUUGCACAAAACUUCAUAACAAUCUGUAAGACAUUUUUACUGCUUGAACAAAACUGCUAAAGAAAUUAUACUAGUAAAAAAAAUGACUUGUGCAAGGCAUUUUUAUAUUUUAUAUUUGAAUGAUAAUGUUCAUAUUUUACUGCUUGCACAAAACUUUAUAACUUCAUAAAAAUGAUAUUAGUAAAAAAAAUGACUUGUACAAAACUGCUAAAGAACAGUAAAAUCUGUAAAACUUUAAAGUGAAAUGUGAUAACUAUGUAACGUGUGCAGGAAGAUUUUUUUUUUCGAGACUCGAGAAGCAACUACCGUAAAAAAGAAAAUAACGAAAAGCAACUAAAAAAAAUCUCAAGACUAUGUGUGGCAGACAAAAAAGUCUCAAGGCUAGGUGUGAGAUUGUUAGUAGAUGCAUUUUACACUAAAAAGUCUCACAAAAUCCAUUACUCGUAACAAUCCAUUAAAAUCCUUAUAAUUUUGAAUACCAAUAGACAAUUUUUAAGUUGUGCAAAAUCUGAAUUGAAUACCACUGGAUUUUAUUUGGACUCAUUAAAAAAUCUUGAAAAUCCUAAUUGAAUACCACAAGAAUGUUUUAGAUUCCUUAAAAGUCUUGAUUGAAUACCUAAAGACUUUUUUAAAACAAAAAAGUCUUUUAAAAUCCUUUGAAAUAUCAGUUGAAUACACCCCCCUAAGGUUUGUGGAAUUCAGAAAUUUAUCUUAAUAGUUUUAACGUUGAUGUAUGCUCAAACUAAAAACCUUAGUUAGCAUAAAAAAGAGUUGUAUCAUCUCAUCUAAACACUUUUAGACAUUAAUUAUAAAAAAUAAUUAAAAAAAGUUAUUUUUGCUGCAACAAAGAUGCUCAAACUCAAAAUCUUCUGCUAUUUAGAUUUAUAAAAAAAAAAAAAAAAAAAAAAAAAUUAUUUCUUCAUGAAAAGACUCAACUUGCAAGCCCAGUAGACAAAUAAAAUAUGGAAACUAUAUCUCAAUUCUCUUUUUUCUUGGUUACAUAAUAUCUAACUUUCAGCUAAAUGAAAGGAGCAUGAUUUUUAAUUAAGUACUUUGCUACCGCUCUUUAAGUUUGAGGCAUGCAAUCACCUUGGUAAUACUUCAGAUCAACUCACCUAAAUGCUUAAUUAUAAAAAAAUAAAAAAUAAACUUGCACCAAAAUAUUUAAUUAAUAAAUUAUUACAAUACAAUAACAUCAUAAAUUAGCAUCAAUUCAAAGUCCACAAUAUUAAAACCUUGCAGUACUAGGACCCCAACAAUUCAAGUCCAUGACUUUCUUCAUAGAUUCUUCCUUGGUUCUUUUCACCUUGUUGGAAACAGCAGCAGAAGAAGCAGAUGACAAUUUCUUAGCCUGAGUGUAUGAUCUAAUAUUGUUCUUAGCAUGUUGAUGAAGUGACCUAAAAGCAUAGUUCCACCUGCAUACACCAAGUUGGUCUUUUAAAGCUUCCACUGCUCCUAUGCUUGAUGCUACUACCCAUGCUCUUGUUGCUGCACUCAUUUUAUAGUAUUUAAGUACCUUUGUUGAGUCUGAAUUUUUUUGAAUAUAUGAUAUAGUAAAAGUGUAUGAAAUUGUUGUGAUUUGUGUUGAUGGGUUAGUGUUGAUUCAUAUAUAUAUAUGGGAAAGUUAAGUGGUGAUUUAAAAUUAGGAGUUAAGAACUAAACAAGGGGCUUAUGUAAAUUGUAAAUACAAGCAGAGCAAAACAAGGGGCGGUUUCACCUAUUGUUCAUUUGUUUGGAACCAAAUUACGCUUUCCUCAAAAUCUACGCGGUGUCAAAUGUCUAGUCUCCUAUGACUGUUAGUUGUAUUGUCUGUCUUUUUCAUUAAUUAAUUUAAUUUUUUUAAGAGGCGGAAAAACAAUAUGUAAAAGAUCAUUUUAAAUAUCUCAUUUCUCCACGUUUAAAAUGUGUGAGCUCUAACCACUAGACUCAUAUAUCAAAAAAAAAAAAAAACAUCUUUAAAGCACAAGGUAUGUCUGAAAUGGAGUAAAAAGAGUAUAAAUUACAAAGCAAGCUAGAAUACUACCAAAACAAAACAAAAACUAAGGGAAACAUUAUGCGGGACUAUAACCCAUGCAAACGAGGGGAUUAGACCACCAUAAGUAAAAGUCGAAGAAAACAUUAAGUUUAUGAGUCUUUAACCACCAUAGAGAGUGAAACAAGCAUCCUUUCUAAACAUAUGUGAACCACAUAAUUGCAUAGCCUUCUCCCCAAUAUCCGAGGGAAUUGUAGUAGAAAUUCCCAAUCACGUAAGAACAAGAUGUCAAAUGCCACCGAAGAUUGCACAUAUUUUUUUUCAAAAAGACAUCUUUCAAAAAUAUUUUUUUAUCAAAAUCUGUUCAAAAUAGCGUCUCAUUUAUGCAUUUUUUUUUUUUGAAUUAUUGUAUAAAAAAAAAUGGUACUAAAAAGCUGAAAUACUUAAAAUAACUUUUUUUUAACAAACACUUAAAAUAACUUUUUAUGAGAAUCUAGUCAAACUAAUUUCACAUUGGAAGAUUUCUUUAAAAAGUUAUAUCAAAAAGAUCAAACACUAUAAAAAUCAUUUAAACAAAACUAUAACAAACAGAUCCAUCCUUUAACUGAAAGUUGUAUUUUGAUUGAACAUGACUCUUUUCAUGUUAUUGAUAUUAUUUAUAAGUUUUUGAUAUGAUUUUCAAUUUAAAUAAACAAUUUUUUUUUUUAGUUUUUGAUGCUUCUUUUUAUUAGAGUCCAAUUUUUAAGAUUACAUGUUCAAAUUGUUUAAUUCAUCAGCUUGUACCUUCAUCCAUCACAUCUUAGAGCUUUUGGAAUCCAUUCUUGGAGAUUAAAGCCCAGGAGAGUUGGAACUUAGUGUGAAUUGAUGAAGGAAAAAAAAAAGUCAUUAAUUAGACUUGUAUUUUUUUGGCUUAGAAGCUAUUCUUUAAUUCUUACAUAGUCACAAGAUUAAAUCUAUAGUGUUUAGAGAUUUAAUACAGGGACUAAUAGGGGUUAUAAAGUGGACACAAACAACAUCUCAAUUUUCAGUUUUCUUGAUUCAUAAGCAUUAACGAACAAAAUUUUGGAUGAAUUUGAUACAUAAGAUGAGAUGGGAUGGAUAAAAAGUAGUAACUAGUAUCUAACCUGCAUCAUAAUGGAUUUAUUACAUUACAAUACAUUAUAAAUCAGCAUUAAUUAAAUGUCCACAAUAUUAAAACCUUGCAGUACUAGGACCCCAGCAAUUCAAGUCAAUGACUUUCCUCAUAGAUUCUUCCUUGCUUCUCUUCACCUUAUUCGAAACAGCAGCAGAUGAAGCAGAGGACAAUUUCUUGGCUUGAGAGUAUGAUCUAAUAUUGUUCUUAGCAUGUUGAUGAAGUGAUCUAAAAGCAUAGUUCCACCUGCAUACACCAAGUUGGUCUUUUAAUGCUUCCACUGCUCCUAUGCUUGAUGCUACUACCCAAGCUUUUGUUGCUGCACUCAUGUUGUUUGUUGUAACUUGUACCUUUGUUGAAUAUUAUGAUGAAGUUGUUUUGUUUUGAUGUGUGAUGAUGAAUUAGUGUUGAUAAAUUCUUAUAUAUAUAUGUAUGAGGGUAAGUUGAGUGAAUUAGAAGUGGGAGUUAAGAACUAAACAAGGGGCAUAAGCAAAAAUACAAGCAGAACAAAACUAGGGGCGGUUUCACCUAUUGUUUGGAACGGAUACACAAUUUUCUCAAAAGCUACGCGGGUGUGACUCAAAUGUCUAGUCUUUUAUGACCAACUUUAUUCAUUCUAUUAAUUAAAUUAAUAACUCUCAAAAAUCAAUUCCCUCAAAAUAAAUAAAUAAAUACUCUAAAAAAAAUUAUUAAAUUAAUAAUUUAACUAUACUUGGAGGGACUAAAUGGAUCACCCAUAUUUACUCAAUAUCUGAUUCGGUAACCAUCUAAUAUGGGUGAACCAUUUCACUAUCAACUUGCAGGGACUCUAUUUAAAGUCGGAGCAAAAUUUUGUAUGAAUUAUCCCAUAAAAAUUGACACUGUGAGAAUUAGAACACAAGGCUUUAAGAAAAACAUACUCCAUAGUCUCAAACUUAUACCAUCAAACAACUUUUAGUUUAAAUACCUUAUUACUUUAAUAAACUUAAUAUUUGCAUUAUUCUUAAUAUUGGCAACAAAAAACAUUGUUUGAAAUUGUAGGGCACUAGGCGCUCUUCUGACUCUUAAUAAGGCAACUAAGAAAAUAACUUUUUUUGUCACUUUGCCAUAGUUUUAAUAGAGCUUGAUCCAACUUUAAAUUUGCGUGAAAGAAUCCUCGUUGAAAGGAAGGAUUUUGAUUUCUAUGCGGAUGUUGAGUAUGAGAAACUUCCGCCUUUAUGUAACUCAUGUCAGAUUGUUGGACAUUCUCUUAAGUACUGCAAGUAUCAGAUUCCUCCAAAAGUGCAACAUAGUAUACCCAAUGGUUCAAAUAUUGAUAAGGCGGAUGUAGAGAUCACACCUCCUGUAAGUACUUUUCCAAAAAAUGUUACUUGUUGCAGUAAAACUGUUGUAGAAAUAGUCCUCUUAUUGAUGAUAUACUAAGGUUUAAGGAAAUAGCAACUUGUGUGUUUGUGGAAGAUGUCUUAAACCAUGAGGAAGAGAUUUCUAAUAUUUUUGUUGGAGCAGAUCAUGAUUUUGUACUGCCUGAGAAAUAGAGGGAGGCUCAUCAGAGCAACCAAUAUUCAAAUAUGUGUAUAGUUGAUCUUUAGAGUGAUACAAUCACUGAUCUCGACUAUAUUCAUAAUACUCAUUCUUGGAAUUACAUGGGUUCUUGUGAUGAAAUAGUAGCAGACUAUGUUCCUUUGGGAGACCAUGUCAUACAAACUUCAACUCAUGAGCCUUUUGGUAGUGCCAUGAUAGCGACAUACUCUAACUUGUCAAACUUCAGUGCAAAUGUUAUUCGCGACAUCAAGUUUUAGGGUUAGUUUUUACUGAGGCCCAACAAGCUAGGGUGUUUCUAAGCAAAUCAUGGGAUAACAUGACUCAAAAUGAAGAGCAAUUUCAAUUGGUGGUCCUAAGAAAAUCGAAGAACAAGUUAAAAUAACAGCAGAGUUAAAAUAACAGCAAUUCCACUCGCUCGACUCGCUAGUCCUUUAAUGUGUUUUUUUUUUGUCUUUCUUUGUUUGCUUUUUUUUUCUCGAGGCUUUUGGCAUUAGUCCUCUCUCUUUUUAUGUACUCUUUUUCUUUAAAUUAAUAUAUGGUCAGGGUUAUGCAGUAGGUAACCCCUCUGCACUUGAUAUUUUGCAUAAAAAAGACUACAAUGGUUGACAACACUCUCCCUUAAGAGAUUUAACAAUAUUGUUGUAUUUUUAAGAUUGGAUUCAAAUUACGACUCUAGUUAAGAUGAAAGAGAUCCAUUAUCAUAUCAUUCAAGUGAUCUUGGAUUAUUCUUAAGUUAAAUUAGAAAUAAAACAAAGUAUUAAAUAAAUAUUUAGUCCCUGUAAAUACUUCAAACUUUUUAUAAGGAUUUAAGUAUGUGUGUGAAACUCAUUCAAAAUUUAAAAAGUUUAAGGAUAAUAAAACAAAGCAAAUUUAAAAUUAAGAAGGACUAAGACUUCAUACUAAAAUGUUUAUAAGGACAUACACAUACCACUUUUUUUAAUGAGGAUUAAAAGCAUAACUUAAUAUGAACAAAACUUAUUUAACCUAAAAAAAAAAUCAUAUAUGUAUAUUUUUUUUUAGAAAUGAUAUUCGUACUAUUAUUUUAUGAGAGUUUUUGGAAUAACUCUAUCUCUCAUACUUUAAUUGUGUUCUUGCUCUUUUAUUGUGUUAAUAUUUGUAUUUUGUGUAUAUUUUUAGUUGUCUCAUAUAUUGUUCAAAAAAUUGUUGUUUAAAUAACAUUCCUCUUUUCCUUUUUGUAACACCUUAAUUUGUAUUGUUACCAUGAAAAAUACUAGGAAUAAUCGGUUUCUAAAUGAAAAAUAAUACUGAUCUUGUUACCAUAUAUAAUUAAUUCUAUCUUGUUUUGUUAAUAUAUAAAAAUAAAGGAAAAAAUAUUUAAAAAAAAAAAAAAAAAAACAUAAACUCUAAAUAAAGAGGAGCUGUCCCCGUGAGCAUAGCUCAGUUGGCAGGGACAAUACAUUAUUAUAUGCAGGACCGGGGUUCGAACCCCGGACACCCCACUUAUUCACUUUAAAAGUGAAUUUCUAGCCACUAGACUACCUGACAAAAAAAAAAAAAAAAGAGGAGCUUAAGUUUGUUUGUUUUUUUGCGCUAAGAAACUUGAAGCAGCUGUUUAACCUUACAAAACCACGAUCUCAAGCACUUCACCAGGUACCAUAAUGACAUAUUCCUUACAAAAUUGAACGAAUAAACCAUGUUAUACACUACUCCACCUAACCACUAAAAUAUUUAAUUAAAAUCUUAUAGUAGGUGGACCCCAACAAUUCAGGUCCAUGACUUUCUUCAUAGAUUCUUCCUUGUUUCUCUUCCCC
RNAcentral lists this long non-coding RNA (8038 nucleotides) under Medicago truncatula (barrel medic). RNAcentral describes it as "long non-coding RNA (MTRU_LNC008749)". Lineage: Eukaryota; Viridiplantae; Streptophyta; Magnoliopsida; Fabales; Fabaceae. The record is from RNAcentral.